GGGCUAAUGUCAAGAGGCAUUGAUAAUUGGGGACACGUAAGUUUAACUAUUACACGUGUGCUUGUAGUAUACCGCUAUUUAAAGUAAUGGUUACGUAUCAUAAGAAUCACCAUACUUCUUCGUUAAUACAGACAGUUACAGUUUUACUUCAGAGAUUGAUCAAAAUCUAUUCUUACAAUUUCAGCUAUGUGGCUUCUUGGAGGAGCAGCAGUGUCCUGGCUUAUAGGACCUGCAUGGAAUGAUUUUGACUCAGCCAAAGAAAACUAGGUGCCGCUACAAGUUACCAGUUCUUCAAAGCACCCGCAUUUGGUACAGGCGCAAUAAUUGGAUGAGUAAGUCAUCUUGAACUUAUUCGCAAAAUAAGACUAAUGUUCAUAAGAACCUGUUCCAACUAAUGAUUGUCUGCCUGGAAAAUUUAGGACUUUGGUGUGGAAUAGCUUGCUCUGAGACAUACAAUAGAACCGGUCAACAGUAAGAGUUCAUAACCUAAAAUCUACAUUGACAACUCAAUUUCAAUGCUUAAUUAUGGAAUUAAUUUUCCCAUGUUUUGGAGAAUGAUUUACAGUAUGAAUUCAUUUUCACCAAACAAACAUGGGAAAACAAUGAAAAUGUUUUUCUUAAAACUUUUUACAAGUAAACAAACAGAUUUUUAAUUUCUAUUUAAAUUGUCUAUUUUUAUAAGGACUAGUCUCAUGCAACACAGCUUAACUGAAAUUCUAUAGGUUGGCAUGGUGACAGCUUAGAAUUGCUUAUGCUUAUCUCAAGUUGUUCACUGUUCCA
This 780-nucleotide long non-coding RNA is filed under the name Gossypium raimondii (Peruvian cotton). RNAcentral describes it as "long non-coding RNA (GRAI_LNC001646)". The record is from RNAcentral. Lineage: Eukaryota; Viridiplantae; Streptophyta; Magnoliopsida; Malvales; Malvaceae.